This 465-nucleotide ribosomal RNA is filed under the name uncultured bacterium. Its description in RNAcentral is "partial 16S ribosomal RNA". It matches the Rfam family "Bacterial small subunit ribosomal RNA", at positions 28 to 507 of the family's 1533-position model. The record is from RNAcentral.
GAUGAACGCUGGCGGCGUGCUUAACACAUGCAAGUCGAACGGAAAGGCUCCUGCUUGCAGGGGUACUCGAGUGGCGAACGGGUGAGUAACACGUGGGUGAUCUGCCCUGCACUUCGGGAUAAGCCUGGGAGACUGGGUCUAAUACCGGAUAGGACCACAUUUUGGAUGGUGUGGUGGAAAGUUUUUCGGUGUGGGAUGAGCUCGCGGCCUAUCAUCUUGUUGGUGGGGUAAUGGCCUACCAAGGCGUCGACGGGUAGCCGGCCUGAGAGGGUGUACGGCCACAUUGGGACUGAGAUACGGCCCAGACUCCUACGGGAGGCAGCAGUGGGGAAUAUUGCACAAUGGGCGCAAGCCUGAUGCAGCGACGCCGCGUGGGGGAUGACGGCCUUCGGGUUGUAAACUCCUUUCGCUAGGGACGAAGCGCAAGUGACGGUACCUGGAGAAGAAGCACCGGCUAACUACGUG